RNAcentral lists this ribosomal RNA (497 nucleotides) under uncultured bacterium. Its description in RNAcentral is "partial 16S ribosomal RNA". It matches the Rfam family "Bacterial small subunit ribosomal RNA", at positions 28 to 507 of the family's 1533-position model. The record is from RNAcentral.
GAUGAACGCUGGCGGCGUGCCUAAUACAUGCAAGUCGAGCGAACAGACGAGGAGCUUGCUCCUCUGACGUUAGCGGCGGACGGGUGAGUAACACGUGGAUAACCUACCUAUAAGACUGGGAUAACUUCGGGAAACCGGAGCUAAUACCGGAUAAUAUAUUGAACCGCAUGGUUCAAUAGUGAAAGACGGUUUUGCUGUCACUUAUAGAUGGAUCCGCGCCGCAUUAGCUAGUUGGUAAGGUAACGGCUUACCAAGGCAACGAUGCGUAGCCGACCUGGGAGAGUGAUCGGCCACACUGGAACUGAGACACGGUCCAGACUCCUACGGGAGGCAGCAGUAGGGAAUCUUCCGCAAUGGGCGAAAGCCUGACGGAGCAACGCCGCGUGAGUGAUGAAGGUCUUCGGAUCGUAAAACUCUGUUAUUAGGGAAGAACAAAUGUGUAAGUAACUAUGCACGUCUUGACGGUACCUAAUCAGAAAGCCACGGCUAACUACGUG